UGCCACCAACCAUCUACAAGGUUGCAGCCACAGGAGGAGAUUCCAUGACUGGAACACUCACAGCUUUCCUCUGCCUUGGACUGACUCUGGGCCUCAGGAACCCAGUGCUCACAUGGGGACUUCCAAAGCCUACCAUCAGUGCUAAGCCAGGAUCUGUGGUUGCCAAUGGAUCUCAGGUGACCAUCUUAUGUGAGGGGGUCUCAGGCGUUCAGGGUUACUACCUUUACCAACACAGAAACCUAGGUUCCUGGCACAGAAUGACCCUGAUGAAGCCUGGAAAUAUGGCCAAGUUUGUCAUCCCUUUUACUAAAUGGUCCCAUGCUGGGCGUUAUUUCUGUUUAUACUACAAGCCUCCCAGCUGGUCAGAGAAGAGUGAUGUUCUGAAGCUGGUG
This is a long non-coding RNA of Phodopus roborovskii (desert hamster), 392 nucleotides long. RefSeq lists it as uncharacterized. The record is from RefSeq and is a predicted model, not a curated record. NCBI's taxonomy places the organism in Eukaryota, Metazoa, Chordata, Mammalia, Rodentia, Cricetidae. The transcript is spliced from 3 exons.